RNAcentral lists this ribosomal RNA (254 nucleotides) under uncultured bacterium. RNAcentral describes it as "partial 16S ribosomal RNA". It matches the Rfam family "Bacterial small subunit ribosomal RNA", at positions 524 to 776 of the family's 1533-position model. The record is from RNAcentral.
UACGUAGGGUGCAAGCGUUGUCCGGAAUUAUUGGGCGUAAAGAGCUCGUAGGCGGUUUGUUGCGUCGGCUGUGAAAUCCCGAGGCUCAACCUCGGGUCUGCAGUCGAUACGAGCAAACUAGAGUGUUGCAGGGGAGACUGGAAUUCCUGGUGUAGCGGUGAAAUGCGCAGAUAUCGGGAGGAACGACCGGUGGCGAAGGCGGUUCUCUGGGCCUUACCUGACGCUGAGGAGCGAAAGCGUGGGGAGCGAACAGG